AAAAAUUUAGUUAAUUAAUAACAUCAGCUUGUCAAGCUGAAAUAAUCUUAUAGAUAAUUUUUA
Molecule: transfer RNA, 63 nt
Filed under: Eophileurus chinensis
Lineage: Eukaryota; Metazoa; Arthropoda; Insecta; Coleoptera; Scarabaeidae
Description: tRNA-Asp
Source: RNAcentral